CUUCAUGUUUCUCCGAAAUGGCCAUAGUCAGAAGCAGAGGCCAGAGGCAGCCGGGCGCGGGUCAAUUUUCUUUCUGUUUUAUUACCUUAGACUCCAGGAGGAUGGACUGAGCCUGGUGCCAUAGUGGAGUCUUUGCCUCUAGAAGCCCCGCAGAGGCUCCCGUGUAAACCCUUAAUUAGUUGCAUGAAUGCAGGGCCAAAGGGCUAGCUUUUGGGGGACUGGGGAGCAGGGUGGAAGGCCAGGUAGCCCCAGCCCCAAUUCUGCCCUGAAGGAGUAUGAGGUGAGGUCAGAGGCUGCCAGUGAGGGGGCUCACUGGUCAUUGACCGCCAUGUGGGAAGAAGGCCAUUUAGGAAGAAGGAGUGCAGGGUCCUUUGGAGGCCAUCUGGGUGAGGUGGAGGUGCCAACACCACCUUCCAGGCCCACCCCUCAGCUGCAUGAGCCGGGGGUGGGGAGGCGGGUAGCAGUCUUGCCAUACCUGGAAGACCGGCUUGGGCUAGAAACACUCCAGCCUGGGCACUCACAGAAAGCUUGGCAGUUACUCAUUGCCUGAUUUGAUUCAGGCCAGCCAGAUUGUUGUAACUUUUGGGUGACCCUGAUGAAGACAAAGCCAGGACUCGGCCUUUGUAUGGCAGACUCCCCGCUCCCGCGGGCGGGAGCCCUGCCUGCCUGGGGUACUCCGCCUAACUCAGAGGCUGCCUCACCCACCCGCCUGGUGGUAUUCUGCAGCCUGACAGAUUUGGGGUUUCAUUCCCCCCAUUGAACUGUGCCCAUUUUGGGGGGCUGUUUUCAGGCGGGGGUGCGUGGAGAGGGCACUCGAGGUUAACAAAGUCGGUGGCAGACAAAAGCUGGGAUUACCUGCCAGGAAUGAGGGUGCUGGGGAUUAGAGAACUACAUUAACAUCUGGUGGGGGCCUUCAAAUGUGCCAUGGCGAGUCACUUGAUUACACGUUAUGUUAUUUAGUUAAAUUUGUGAAAAUUAUGAGAUGCUCACCAACCCGGUGAUAAACUCGCUCCCUCGCUAUUGGCUGGCCUGGUCACAUGGCCGCCAACUUUAUUCAGUUGACAGCAAGUAGGAGGGCCCUAUGGAAGGAGAAAAAAAGACAACACGAGAAAAAUUAGUAUUUUCUACCUUCAGAAAUUAAUGGCCAUGAGUUCGUAUAUGGUGAACUCCAAGUAUGUGGACCCCAAGUUCCCUCCGUGCGAGGAAUAUUUGCAGGGCGGCUACCUAGGCGAGCAGGGCGCCGACUACUACGGCGGUGGCGUGCAGGGUGCAGACUUCCAGCCCCCGGGGCUCUACCCACGGCCCGACUUCGGUGAGCAGACCUUCGGAGGCGGCGGCCCUGGGCCCGGCUCCGCGCUGCCCACACGGGGUCACGGGCAAGAAGCCAGUGGCCCCGGCGGCCACUACGGAGCCCCAGGAGAGCCGUGCCCCGCGCCCCCCGCGCCCCCGCCCGCGCCCCUGCCCAGCGCCCGGGCCUGCAGCCAGCCGGGCGGCCCCAAGCAGCCGCCCCCCGGGACGGCACUCAAGCAGCCCGCCGUGGUCUACCCGUGGAUGAAGAAGGUGCACGUGAAUUCGGUGAACCCCAACUACACUGGCGGGGAGCCCAAGCGGUCCCGGACGGCCUACACCCGGCAGCAAGUCCUAGAACUGGAAAAGGAAUUUCAUUUUAACAGGUAUCUGACGCGGCGCCGUCGGAUUGAAAUUGCUCACACCCUGUGUCUGUCCGAGCGCCAGAUCAAGAUCUGGUUCCAGAACCGGAGGAUGAAGUGGAAAAAAGACCACAAGCUGCCCAACACCAAAGGCAGGUCCUCGUCCUCAUCCUCCUCUUCUUCCUCCUCCUGCUCUUCCUCAGCUGCUCCCGGCCAACAUUUGCAGCCUCUGGCCAAGGACCACCACACGGACCUGACGACCUUAUAGACGUGGGGACCCUGGGCCCAUUCCUCCCUGCGCUCCCGGCUGAGCCGAAGCUGCGGGGGCAGGCCGGGCUUGCUGUCACCUCCCUGGGCUCUAAGUUUCCAGGGAUUGUCUUUUGAAAUGUUAAUGGAGCCUGGAUGGCCCAGGGGGCAGCCCUCAACCCUGUGGUCCCAAUUGGACCCCAGCGUCCAUUUGGGCCCACCGGAGUGGGGCAGGAAAGAAGCAGUGCCUCCCCCCAACCACCGCCACCAAAGGGCAGGGAAGGAAAUGAGUUUCCAUCUGGGAGCGUACUCUGGAGAGACCUAGAUGUGGAAAGGAGCAGUGCCCAUUUGCUUUUAUUUGUUUCCAGUUUGUUCCCCCAAAUAUGAGCCAGAAGUGUUUGUUUUGUUGUUGUUGUUGUUGUUUUUAAAGCUGUGUUGGGGUCGUGACUGGGGAGGAGUGAAGUGUUUACUGAGGACAUUGCUCCUCAGACUCCCAUCUCACUUUGUCUAUUGCAGCCUUUUGUUGGGAGAUGACAUUGUCAGUCAGCCCCAUGGUGUCUGUUCACACAAGAUGCUUUUUUAAUAGAAUUGACCAAUGUUCUGCUGCCAUUGAUUAAAGUAUUAUUUAUACUAAUUGUUGCCUGUAGUUUUGAUGUAAUUCAUUGAUCUAUAUUUGAAAUAAUAAAAGGUGUAGCGAAAUCUC
Non-coding RNA from Leptonychotes weddellii (Weddell seal), 2598 nucleotides. The record is from RefSeq and is a predicted model, not a curated record. NCBI's taxonomy places the organism in Eukaryota, Metazoa, Chordata, Mammalia, Carnivora, Phocidae.